Long non-coding RNA from Apus apus (common swift), 688 nucleotides. RefSeq lists it as uncharacterized. The transcript is spliced from 3 exons. Lineage: Eukaryota; Metazoa; Chordata; Aves; Apodiformes; Apodidae. The record is from RefSeq and is a predicted model, not a curated record.
UCUGCAUGAGCAAGGGGAGGGCACUCCCGAGACCCGGUGGGAAAGCCGGGCCGGGCAGCCCUGGAAGUCCCUUCACCGACCGCGGCCCGGGAGGAGGAGCAGGAGCUCCGGGCUCAGCCCCACAGAGGAGCCCGCAUCUGCUGCGAACUGAAAUGCCAGGGGCAACAGUGGUGUGAAUUUUCUUCUGCUCCUUCAGCCCCUCCCUCAGCCAAGAACUUGAGCAGUGAAGAUACAUCCUUCUGCAAAAUGAGACUGCUGGCAAGGAUCCUUAGAACCUGCAAGAGUCCUUUUCUGCUGCCAUCACCUCCUUCUCUUGAUCUUUUGGUUUCUGGUUGUUUCCUCUGCAGAAAACAGGUAUCUCUGAACACUACAGUUCACUUAUUAAUUCUUAAGCCAGUACUUUAACAGCUUCUUUUUUUAUUUCCUCAACUUACCAAGACUUUCCUUGCUUAUCAUCCUGAAUGUGAAAACCCCUCAGUGGAAUACCAUGCUCUGUGAAGAAAACGGGCUGGUAGCCAUUGAUUUUUAUUGUUCCAAAUCUCAUUCUGUGUAGGACUUAAUAGAUUUAGAUGGCUUUGUAUUCCAGAGAGCUAACUGGAGGAGCUGGCAGUCUCUAGAAUUUGGCAGGUUAUAAAACAAGCUUGUAGUAAGAACAUGGUGACUUUGGAAAAUAAACUAUGAAAAUGCA